Non-coding RNA from Enterococcus sp. 3H8_DIV0648, 119 nucleotides. The record is from Rfam. Lineage: Bacteria; Bacillati; Bacillota; Bacilli; Lactobacillales; Enterococcaceae.
GUUCGUCUUCAGGGGCAGGGUGAAAAUCCCGACCGGCGGUAAUAGUCCGCGAACUGCGCAAGCAGCCGAAUCGGUGUAAUUCCGAUACCGACAGUACAGUCUGGAUAAAGAAGAUAGAG